This 494-nucleotide ribosomal RNA is filed under the name uncultured bacterium. RNAcentral's name for it is "partial 16S ribosomal RNA". It matches the Rfam family "Bacterial small subunit ribosomal RNA", at positions 28 to 507 of the family's 1533-position model. The record is from RNAcentral.
GACGAACGCUGGCGGCGUGCUUAACACAUGCAAGUCGAACGGAAAGGCCUGCUUUCCCUUGUGGAUUGCGGGUACUCGAGUGGCGAACGGGUGAGUAACACGUGAGUGAUCUGCCCCCAACUUGGGUAUAAGCCUGGGAAACUGGGUCUAAUUCCCGAUAGGACUGCAGGGUGGUGCCUGUGGUGGGAAACGGUUUUCUAGUGGUUGGGGAUGAGCUCGCGGCCUAUCAGCUUGUUGGUGGGGUAAUGGCCUACCAAGGCGGCGACGGGUAGCCGGCCUGAGAGGGUGGACGGCCACAUUGGGACUGAGAUACGGCCCAGACUCCUACGGGAGGCAGCAGUGGGGAAUAUUGCACAAUGGGCGGAAGCCUGAUGCAGCGACGCCGCGUGGGGGAUGACGGCCUUCGGGUUGUAAACUCCUUUCGACCGCGAGGAAGCCACCUGGUUGGAAGGGUGGUGACGGUAGUGGUAGAAGAAGCACCGGCUAACUACGUG